RNAcentral lists this unclassified non-coding RNA (350 nucleotides) under uncultured fungus. RNAcentral's name for it is "partial contains small subunit ribosomal RNA, internal transcribed spacer 1, and 5.8S ribosomal RNA". The stretch from base 1 to 73 matches the Rfam family "Eukaryotic small subunit ribosomal RNA", at positions 1759 to 1831 of the family's 1831-position model. Lineage: Eukaryota; Fungi. The record is from RNAcentral.
UCAAACUUGGUCAUUUAGAGGAAGUAAAAGUCGUAACAAGGUUUCCGUAGGUGAACCUGCGGAAGGAUCAUUAUAGAGUAUCUAUAAAGCGGACAUUUACGGUAGUAAAUGUUUGAGUUAAAUGUGCACCAGUAAAUAUAAUAAUAUAUAUUUGGGUGAUAGUGUAGUAUUCAAGGUAGCUAUAGGUAUAUAGCUAUCGGAGAUGCAGCAUCGCACAUUGCCCAAUAUGUAUAUCUCUGUAUAUAACAUCUACAAUAGUUUUUCAGCCUUAAAUUUGAAUGAGAAAUAUAAAACCAUACAUAACUUUUAACAACGGAUCUCUUGGCUCUCGCAUCGAUGAAGAACGCAGC